AAAAUAUAUUAUUGAGAAGGUGACAAGAUGAGUAUGAGGUCAGAAAGAAAAUUAAAAAAAAAAAACAUACUUAUGAUAUGUUGCAAUGGGCACUCCCUCCUCCCUCGUCGGAGUGUGCUUAUGCACAGCCCUUGAUUGGCAUUUCUUUGUGUGUGUGUGUGUGUGUGUGUGUGUGUGUGUGUGUGAAGACCGGUGUGGGAUUACAUCUCUGUCCCCUGCAGCCCCCUGUGUUGUGGCAGCCGUCCAAGGAAGGCGACCGUUUAAUCGGACGGAUCACUCUGAGCAAAGGGACGCCGGUGUCAGAGACUGGGGGACAGCUGGGGCUGAAGGUGAUGAGGUGCUGCUCUGGAAUGGCAAGUCCUUGCCAGGAUCGACAAAGAAGGAGGUCUACAACAUCAUUCUGGAAUCCAAAAUGGAUCCCCAAGUGGAAAUUGUGGUUUCGAGGUCCAUCAGGAUGUGCAGAACAUACGAAGAUGCGCCGAGGGUUCCGGAGGUGUCGCGUGCUCCGUCAGAGUCCCGGUCCGCUUCGCUUGAGUCCCCAGCACGGGAGCGCCUCUCUCAGCCCCCCAGGUCCUUCGCUAGCAACGGGACGCGGAGAGACCCCCCCCAGCUGUCCGUGAAGCUGUGCUACGACAACAUCGGUCAUCAGCUCGUCGUCAACGUGCUCCAGGCCUCGGACCUGCCGGCGCGGCCAGACGGACGCCCGAGGAACCCCUACGUGAAAAUGUACCUGCUGCCUGACCGCAGUGACAAGAGCAAGCGCAGGAGCAAAACGGUGAAGAAGAGUUUGGCCCCCAGGUGGAACCAGACCUUCCUGUACAGCCAGGUGCAGCACAGGGACCUGCGAGAGCGAACCCUCGAGCUGAGCGUGUGGGACCAGCCACGCGCGCAGGAGGAGGAGAGUCACCCGCUGGGGGAGGUGCUCAUUGAGCUGGAGUUGGCACCACUGGAUGACAGAGCGCACUGGUAUGAGCUGCAGGUGCAUGAUGGGUCCACACCCACAGCCCACCCUCCCAGGGGUGAAGACAGCUACUCUGGAGACAAGGACAUGUCCAGCAUGCUGUCAUCACCUGAGCGGCAGAGAGCUACGCUGCAGCAGAUCGACCAGGGCAGGGGCCCCUGGCGCCCUAUCAGUGGGGCCCCCCACAGUGUGGAGACGCGUCGGAACUCCACCAGGUACAGCAGCACGCUUCCUCCCAAGAUGCCCCUCCUGGUCAACGGCAUCCACAAGGACAUAUACAGCUCCACCCUCCCUGCAUGCCUGCCGACACGGUCGCGCCUGAGGCUCCCCCGCAGCGGCCCGGCUCGGCACCUGGACCGGGACGCGGACGAGGUCGGCUCCAGGGCCCGGAGCUCAAGCACCAGCUGUCUGGCCCCAGAUGAGGGAUUUCCCUCCCCUGAGCAGCAAAGGUGGACUCGGUCGCUACCACGCAGACAGCCUGCAAGCCCCAAAAUGGUGAUGGAGACCGGUCCCCCCAAAGAUGACAGUGUCUCGAGGAUCCAGCCAACCUCCAUACUCAGAGGCAACAGAAGGGCGGCGCCCCUGCGUCCAAUCGGCCAGGCUUCUCUUGGAGGAUCCGCCCCCUGCUCGCCUCGUCCGGACAGAGGUGCAGUGCGCAACAGCCCCUGUACCCCCCCAGACAUGGAGAAACCUCCAGCAGGUCGCAGAGUGAGGCAACUUCCGCAGGUCCCUGUGAAAGGAAGCUGUACAGAGGAAGGUGUGUGUGUGUGUGUGUGUGUGUGUGUGUGUGUGUGUGUGUGUGUGUGCGUGCGUGCGUGUGCGCGCGGGGGGGCGGGAGUCACCUCUUGCGGAUCUGUGCUCCCAGUGGCUGAGGACCGCUCUCGGCAGAGGCCCACGAAAGCCAGUUCCUACCAGUCCCCAAGCGCCAGCAAUACCGCACCCAGCCAGCAGAGGGAGCUGAAGGGCAAGCGACAGGUGAGCGCCAUGCAGGCCGUGUUUCUGCGCGGUAGUGUCUCUCGGGUGUUUGCGGUUCUCACCGCACCAAGCUCUGCUGUGACGGCGCUCGCUGCUCCCUCAGCUCUACGGCGGGCACAGCAGCGGGAGCGUGUCGGACAGCGAGCUCAGCGAUGCGUCAGCCACGUCCCGCCGCAGCAGCGCCUCGCACAUCAGCAGCGGCAGUUACGCCUCGGUGCAGUCGGAGCAGCCGCGGGGUCGAGCCAGGUGCGCGCGCACUGCCCGGUCCGGUCACUCCAACACGCCGCAGACUUGAGCUCUGCACUGCUCGUCGCUGUCAAAGAAGAGUCGCUCUGUUACCGUGGUAACGCCGGUGCUCCGACGGCUCGUCAAAACACAGGUCCAAGUCUCUGGAGAGCUGCAAGGGGGUGGAGCGCAGAGAGAGGAGGAUAUCGUGGGGGGUGGUCGACUGGGAGGAGACGCAGGGCGAGAGGCGCAGGAGCCUCUCCGGCGACUCCAGGAGGAGGCACUCUGUUGCGGGGGACCUCAGGUAAAAGCCCGCCUUCCCGUGGCCCCGCCUCCUCUAACCCCCCGGCUCCCGCUCGGGCCCGCGUGACCCUGGCACGUCUCGAACCCUCCUCCCCACGAACCCGCAGCCGCUCUCCGAGCCGCAGCCUGCUCAAGAGCACCAGCGUUAGCGGUGAAAUCUACGCCCUGGAACAUGGCGACGGCAGCCAGUCGGACCCGGCGCCGAGCAAGAGGGCCAAGCAGCGGCGGGCCAGCCUGGGGGCACGAGUGGCGGCGGUGGUGUCGCGCAGCAGGAGCACAUCGCAGCUCCACCAGGCAGGUGCGUCCAAGCCCCUCCAGAGGGGGGCGCCCUUCAUCGCUGACGCUUUGUCUCCAGCAUCUGUCAGUGUCACCCAGACACACACACACACACACACACACACACACACAUACACACACGCACGCGCGCGCGCAGAACUGCCCAGUCUGUGCUGU
This 2917-nucleotide long non-coding RNA is filed under the name Scleropages formosus (Asian bonytongue). RNAcentral describes it as "lncRNA (ENSSFOG00015024357.1)". Lineage: Eukaryota; Metazoa; Chordata; Actinopteri; Osteoglossiformes; Osteoglossidae. The record is from RNAcentral.